This is a regulatory RNA element of Pseudoalteromonas phenolica, 164 nucleotides long. The record is from Rfam. Lineage: Bacteria; Pseudomonadati; Pseudomonadota; Gammaproteobacteria; Alteromonadales; Pseudoalteromonadaceae.
CGCCCUUUCCCCUUGUAUCACGCCUGAAAAUAAGUAAUUGAUGAGUAAUGCGAUCGCAUGGAUGCGAGCCAAGCGAUGAUUUCGCCAAGGAUGGCGAAUACAUCGCGGUUACGUUCACAUCAAUUAGUUAUUUGAAGAUUUAGCGAGAUAUAGGGGCGCCGUGG